GAUGAACGCUGGCGGCGUGCCUAAUACAUGCAAGUCGAGCGAACAGACGAGGAGCUUGCUCCUCUGACGUUAGCGGCGGACGGGUGAGUAACACGUGGAUAACCUACCUAUAAGACUGGGAUAAUUUCGGGAAACCGGAGCUAAUACCGGAUAAUAUAUUGAACUGAAUGGUUCAAUAGUGAAAGACGGUUUUGCUGUCACUUAUAGAUGGAUCCGCGCCGCAUUAGCUAGUUGGUAAGGUAACGGCUUACCAAGGCGGCGAUGCGUAGCCGACCUGAGAGGGAGGACGACCAGCCGGGAACUGAGGCACGGUCCAGACUCCGACGGGAGGCAGCAGUAGGGAAUCCUCCGCAAGGGAGGAGAGCUUGACGGAGCAACGCCGCGGGAGGGAUGAAGGUCUUCUGAUCGGAAAACUCUGUUAUUAUGAAAGAACAAAUAUGUUAGUAACUAUGCACGUCUUGACGGUACCUAAUCAGAAAGCCACGGCUAACUACGUG
RNAcentral lists this ribosomal RNA (497 nucleotides) under uncultured bacterium. Its description in RNAcentral is "partial 16S ribosomal RNA". It matches the Rfam family "Bacterial small subunit ribosomal RNA", at positions 28 to 507 of the family's 1533-position model. The record is from RNAcentral.